UACGGAGGGGGCUAGCGUUGUUCGGAAUUACUGGGCGUAAAGCGCACGUAGGCGGCUUUGUAAGUUAGAGGUGAAAGCCCGGAGCUCAACUCCGGAAUUGCCUUUAAGACUGCAUCGCUCGAAUCAUGGAGAGGUGAGUGGAAUUCCGAGUGUAGAGGUGAAAUUCGUAGAUAUUCGGAAGAACACCAGUGGCGAAGGCGACUCACUGGACAUGUAUCGACGCUGAGGUGCGAAAGCGUGGGGAGCAAACAGG
RNAcentral lists this ribosomal RNA (253 nucleotides) under uncultured bacterium. RNAcentral describes it as "partial 16S ribosomal RNA". It matches the Rfam family "Bacterial small subunit ribosomal RNA", at positions 524 to 776 of the family's 1533-position model. The record is from RNAcentral.